AUGCUGAGAUAUGACCUCGAGGACCAGCUCUCGGUCAUCUACGCUUACGAGGAGGCCUAUUGGCAGCUGCACGGCACCCAACGGUGGGUGCUCCAGGGUGACGCCAACACGGCCUACUUCCAGGCGAUCGCCAAUGGCCGGCGCCAUCGCAAUUCCAUCCACUCCCUAUGGGAAGGCGAUACUCAGCUUGUUCGCCCCUCGGACAUCCGAGCCCACGUAGACGGCUUUUAUAAAGCCCUUUUCACCCCCACCCCUCGGGGUGGGGCCGCGCUAGCCCCCGAUACCUGG
This 288-nucleotide ribosomal RNA is filed under the name Triticum aestivum (bread wheat). Its description in RNAcentral is "partial small subunit ribosomal RNA". The record is from RNAcentral. Lineage: Eukaryota; Viridiplantae; Streptophyta; Magnoliopsida; Poales; Poaceae.